GCCGUCGUCGACCAGUGGAAGGUCAAUCUCGCAACGUAGCUUAUGAAGCUCUUGAAUUGCAAUGGGGAAAGACGGGGGUUCGAUUCCUCCCGAUGGCA
Molecule: non-coding RNA, 98 nt
Organism: Mycena latifolia
Lineage: Eukaryota; Fungi; Basidiomycota; Agaricomycetes; Agaricales; Mycenaceae
Source: the annotation of a GenBank genome assembly